UUUCCGUAGGUGAACCUGCGGAAGGAUCAUUAAAAAAUUGGACUCCAUUGGUGAGUUCAUUAAUAAUCCCUACCCUUUGUGAAUUUGUUUGUUUGAAUAAUUUUUCUUCCAAAAAAAAAUUAUUGAAUGUCUUUCCCUGUUUUGGUGGAGCUUGUAAAGUGAAACCAGGCAGGGGAAUGGCAAACAAUAAUUAUUUUUUGAAAAAAGACCUUUUUUAAAAUUAAACUUUUUGUAUUCAUUUGUCUAAAAUUAUUUUUAUAAUAUAAAAACAACUUUUGACAAUGGAUCUCUUGGUUCUCGCAGCGAUGAAGAACGCAGCAAAAUGCGAUAAGUAGUGUGAAUUGCAGAAUACGUGAAUCAUCGAAUCUUCGAACGCAUAUUGCACUUUUUUAGUUUACUAAAAAAGUAUGUCUGUUUGAGUAUCAGUAAAAUAUUCUCAUAAAAAACAUUGUUUUUUUAUGGUUAUGAGUGUUUUACAACGAUAACAAGUUGUUUCACUUUAAAUUCUUUGUUAUCAAAAAAAUCAUUAAAAGCUAAUUUUAAAGAUUUUUUAAAAUUGGAUAAAAUUUUCCCGUAAAAAGGAAUAACCUAAACAAUUUUAAAAAUUAAAAUUGGUUUGAUUUUUUUUGAAACCCAAAGGAAAAAAAACGAAAUUAACUUGAUCUCAAAUCAGAUAAGAGUACCCGCUGAACUUAAGCAUAUCAAUAAGCGGAGGAAAAGAAACUAACUAGGAUUCCCUCAGUAACGGCGAGUGAAGCGGGAAGAGCUCAAAUUUGAAAUCUUCAAGGUUUUACCUUGACGAAUUGUAGUUUAAAGAAGUGUUUUCUGUUGGAGUUUUGGUAAAAGUUCUUUGGAAAAGGACAUCAUAGAGGGUGAGAAUCCCGUAUUUGACCAUUAUCUCCAGCUUUGUGAUACACUUUCAAAGAGUCGGAUUGUUUGGGAAUGCAGUCCAAAAUGGGUGGUAAAUUUCAUCUAAAGCUAAAUACUGGCGAGAGACCGAUAGCGAACAAGUACCGUGAGGGAAAGAUGAAAAGAACUUUGAAAAGAGAGUUAAACAGUACGUGAAAUUGUCAAAAGGGAAGCGUUUGACACCAGUGUUGUUUUCUCGAAAAUCAAUUAAAAAGAGCUGGAUUUGUGUUGUACUGACUUAUCAGCUUGCUUCACUUUUUCUUGCUUUUUUAAUGCACUUUUCGUUUAACAAGUCAACAUCAGUCUCUUUUGUUGUAAAAGGUAUGGAAGGUGGCUCAUCUUCGGAUAAGUGUUUAUAGCCUUUGCUUCUGCAAUCGGAGAGACUGAGGUCUGCAGCGUAGAUCCUUUUGGGUUAGAUACAUUUGUGCUAAGCUACAGCUUUUAUAGACAACUUGUUGACUAUGUUCAGUCUUGUACUUACUCGCUUAUGCUAUUUUACCUA
Molecule: unclassified non-coding RNA, 1411 nt
Filed under: uncultured Neocallimastigales
Lineage: Eukaryota; Fungi; Neocallimastigomycota; Neocallimastigomycetes; Neocallimastigales
Description: partial contains small subunit ribosomal RNA, internal transcribed spacer 1, 5.8S ribosomal RNA, internal transcribed spacer 2, and large subunit ribosomal RNA
Rfam family: Eukaryotic large subunit ribosomal RNA (bases 660-1411)
Source: RNAcentral